AUCAUUACCGAGUGAGGGCCCUCUGGGUCCAACCUCCCACCCGUGUCUAUCGUACCUUGUUGCUUCGGCGGGCCCGCCGUUUCGACGGCCGCCGGGGAGGCCUUGCGCCCCCGGGCCCGCGCCCGCCGAAGACCCCAACAUGAACGCUGUUCUGAAAGUAUGCAGUCUGAGUUGAUUAUCGUAAUCAGUUAAAACUUUCAACAACGGAUCUCUUGGUUCCGGCAUCGAUGAAGAACGCAGCGAAAUGCGAUAAGUAAUGUGAAUUGCAGAAUUCAGUGAAUCAUCGAGUCUUUGAACGCACAUUGCGCCCCCUGGUAUUCCGGGGGGCAUGCCUGUCCGAGCGUCAUUGCUGCCCUCAAGCACGGCUUGUGUGUUGGGCCCCCGUCCCCCUCUCCCGGGGGACGGGCCCGAAAGGCAGCGGCGGCACCGCGUCCGGUCCUCGAGCGUAUGGGGCUUUGUCACCUGCUCUGUAGGCCCGGCCGGCGCCAGCCGACACCCAACUUUAUUUUUCUAAGGUUGACCUCGGAUCAGGUAGGGAUACCCGCUGAACUUAAGCAUAUCAAUAAGCGGAGGAAAAGAAACCAACAGGGAUUGCCUCAGUAACGGCGAGUGAAGCGGCAAGAGCUCAAAUUUGAAAGCUGGCCCCUUCGGGGUCCGCGUUGUAAUUUGCAGAGGAUGCUUCGGGUGCAGCCCCCGUCUAAGUGCCCUGGAACGGGCCGUCAUAGAGGGUGAGAAUCCCGUCUGGGACGGGGUGUCUGCGUCCGUGUGAAGCUCCUUCGACGAGUCGAGUUGUUUGGGAAUGCAGCUCUAAAUGGGUGGUAAAUUUCAUCUAAAGCUAAAUACUGGCCGGAGACCGAUAGCGCACAAGUAGAGUGAUCGAAAGAUGAAAAGCACUUUGAAAAGAGAGUUAAACAGCACGUGAAAUUGUUGAAAGGGAAGCGUUUGCGACCAGACUCGCCCGCGGGGUUCAGCCGGCAUUCGUGCCGGUGUACUUCCCCGUGGGCGGGCCAGCGUCGGUUUGGGCGGCCGGUCAAAGGCCCUCGGAAUGUAUCACCUCUCGGGGUGUAUUAUAGCCGAGGGUGCAAUGCGGCCUGCCGGACCGAGGAACGCG
Molecule: ribosomal RNA, 1111 nt
Filed under: fungal endophyte
Lineage: Eukaryota; Fungi
Description: eukaryotic LSU rRNA
Rfam family: Eukaryotic large subunit ribosomal RNA (bases 518-1111)
Source: RNAcentral